GAUGAACGCUGGCGGCGUGCCUAAUACAUGCAAGUCGAGCGAACAGACGGGGAGCUUGCUCCUCUGACGUUAGCGGCGGACGGGUGAGUAACACGUGGAUAACCUACCUAUAAGACUGGGAUAACUUCGGGAAACCGGAGCUAAUACCGGAUAAUAUAUUGAACCGCAGGGUUCAAUAGUGAAAGACGGUUUUGCUGUCACUUAUAGAUGGAUCCGCGCCGCAUUAGCUAGUUGGUAAGGUAACGGCUUACCAAGGCAACGAUGCGUAGCCGACCUGAGAGGGUGAUCGGCCACACUGGAACUGAGACACGGUCCAGACUCCUACGGGAGGCAGCAGUAGGGAAUCUUCCGCAAUGGGCGAAAGCCUGACGGAGCAACGCCGCGUGAGUGAUGAAGGUCUUCGGAUCGUAAAACUCUGUUAUUAGGGAAGAACAAAUGUGUAAGUAACUAUGCACGUCUUGACGGUACCUAAUCAGAAAGCCCCGGCUAACUACGUG
Molecule: ribosomal RNA, 497 nt
Filed under: uncultured bacterium
Lineage: Bacteria
Description: partial 16S ribosomal RNA
Rfam family: Bacterial small subunit ribosomal RNA
Source: RNAcentral